This 703-nucleotide long non-coding RNA is filed under the name Marmota monax (woodchuck). Lineage: Eukaryota; Metazoa; Chordata; Mammalia; Rodentia; Sciuridae. The record is from RNAcentral.
CUUAAAAACAACUCUACCAUCAACUUCCAUAACAUUAUGAGUGUAGCAAAGUUAAUAAUACUUUUAUUAUCAUAAAUUAUCAUGUUGAAAUCUCCCUGCUUGUCCCAUUUUUUAAUAGAUGUAUUUGAAUUUUAAUAGCUCUUCUUCAUGUAUGUUAUGGCUCCAUCUGUAGGUUCCUCUUCCCUCGUUUUUCUUCCUUGCAAUUUAUUUGUUGAAAAAAAUCAUGUCCUUGUCCUUAGAGUUUUCUCUGGUAUGAGUUUGAUGAUUGCAUUCCAUGGUGUCAUUGAACAUGUUCCUCUACUCCUUGUUUUUCCUAUAAACUGGUAUUUGUUAGAAGAUUUUAUUUGGAGACAAGGUCUUGCUCUGUUGCUCAGGCCACACUGUGAAUUAUGGGCUGCUGAUGUGACACAGGCCAAACCUUGUGCUGUUCCUUCCCUGUUGACUGCCCCCAACCCCCAUUCCCCAGCACCAACUGUCCCCUUAACUGCUGAGAUAGACAUUCCACUGGUAACAGCCAGUGCCUUACUGCCAAGGCUCACACAGCCAGAGUGAUCUUUUUGGCAUCUUCAUCAGAUUUCUUCACUACCCUGUUCAAAUCUAUCCUAUAACCUCCUGCUUCACAUCUAAAACAAGAUCCAUACUCCUCAGUAUUGCCGAUGUGGCCCACUGGGGUCUUCCUUAUACCUGCUUCUCCAACCACAAC